AUUGAACGCUGGCGGCAUGCUUUACACAUGCAAGUCGAACGGUAACAGGCCGCAAGGUGCUGACGAGUGGCGAACGGGUGAGUAAUGCAUCGGAACGUGCCCAGUCCUGGGGGAUAACUACUCGAAAGAGUAGCUAAUACCGCAUACGAUCUAUGGAUGAAAGCGGGGGACCGUAAGGCCUCGCGCGAUUGGAGCGGCCGAUGUCAGAUUAGGUAGUUGGUGGGGUAAAGGCUCACCAAGCCAACGAUCUGUAGCUGGUCUGAGAGGACGACCAGCCACACUGGCACUGGGACACGGCCCAGACUCCUACGGGAGGCAGCAGUGGGGAAUUUUGGACAAUGGGCGCAAGCCUGAUCCAGCAAUGCCGCGUGCAGGAAGAAGGCCUUCGGGUUGUAAACUGCUUUUGUACGGAACGAAACGGCUCUGGUUAAUACCCGGGGCUAAUGACGGUACCGGAAGAAUAAGCACCGGCUAACUACGUG
Molecule: ribosomal RNA, 482 nt
Filed under: uncultured bacterium
Lineage: Bacteria
Description: partial 16S ribosomal RNA
Rfam family: Bacterial small subunit ribosomal RNA
Source: RNAcentral